CGCGGCCUAUCAGCUUGUUGGUGGGGUAAUGGCCUACCAAGGCGACGACGGGUAGCCGGCCUGGGAGGGCGACCGGCCACACUGGGACUGAGACACGGCCCAGACUCCUACGGGAGGCAGCAGUGGGGAAUAUUGCACAAUGGGGGAAACCCUGAUGCAGCGACGCAGCGUGCGGGAUGACGGCCUUCGGGUUGUAAACCGCUUUCAGCAGGGAAGAAGCGAAAGUGACGGUACCUGCAGAAGAAGUACCGGCUAACUACGUGCCAGCAGCCGCGGUAAUACGUAGGGUACGAGCGUUGUCCGGAAUUAUUGGGCGUAAAGAGCUCGUAGGUGGUUGGUCACGUCUGCUGUGGAAACGCAACGCUUAACGUUGCGCGUGCAGUGGGUACGGGCUGACUAGAGUGCAGUAGGGGAGUCUGGAAUUCCUGGUGUAGCGGUGAAAUGCGCAGAUAUCAGGAGGAACACCGGUGGCGAAGGCGGGACUCUGGGCUGUAACUGACACUGAGGAGCGAAAGCAUGGGGAGCGAACAGGAUUAGAUACCCUGGUAGUCCAUGCCGUAAACGUUGGGCACUAGGUGUGGGGGACAUUCCACGUUCUCCGCGCCGUAGCUAACGCAUUAAGUGCCCCGCCUGGGGAGUACGG
Molecule: ribosomal RNA, 643 nt
Filed under: uncultured bacterium
Lineage: Bacteria
Description: bacterial SSU rRNA
Rfam family: Bacterial small subunit ribosomal RNA
Source: RNAcentral